This is a long non-coding RNA of Chelonia mydas (Green sea turtle), 1221 nucleotides long. RefSeq lists it as uncharacterized. The transcript is spliced from 3 exons. The record is from RefSeq and is a predicted model, not a curated record. NCBI's taxonomy places the organism in Eukaryota, Metazoa, Chordata, Testudines, Cheloniidae.
CGGGCGGGGCCCGUGGGGCGCUUGCGGGCCACCGGGGCCCGGGGCAGCUCGCCCUUUGCCCGCCGCGGGGCGGCCCCUCCCAGGGGCCUGGGCCACGAUGCUGUGUCACCCUUCCCAGCUGGGCUUGGCCGCAGCGACCUGCUCCCCCAGGCCGGCGGCAGGGCUACGCAGGGAUUCGGUGCCCACCCUGCUAAGGCUUGGCUCGGGGAUCGGGGCCCUAAAGGAUCAGGGUGCCUUCCAGGCGUGCAUUAAGCAACCUGACUAACAGCUGCCACCUGUACUUUGUUCCUAAGCUUUGAAAUUCAAGUCCUCUGUUCCCCAGGGCCUGGUAAAUAUUAUCUGCAUUGUACAGAUCACUUCUCCAAUUUGUCAAGCUAAUUUUGAAUUCUCAUCUUACCCUCCAAAGUGCUUGCAGCACUUCUCAGCUUGGCGUCAUCCGCAAAUGUUAUAAGCGCACAGAGCUUUGUUUCAGAAGAUGGAGUGUAUCUGCCUUUACGUUUGAGAAGUAUCACUUGGAUAUAAAAGCACCAGAGGAGUCCCUGCAAGGGAGAGUUUACAGUCACCACGAGGCCCUGCAGGAACUGAGACCCAUCGACUGAAGUAUACCUGCCUCUUAUCUUCACUGCAUUCUGACCCCAUCCUAUAUAUUAGCCCCCACCUCUGCUGCUUCCCAGAGCUCUCCCUGCACCUAUGUCUCUUCUCUGAGUUUUCCCUGCAACUCCUGUGCCAGAGCUCGAUAGGAGCAUUGAGUAAGACUGUCAUUCAUUCAGUGGAUCAUGAUGAUACCUGCUGAGUAACACAGAUGUAUCCAUCAUUGGUCAGAUCGGUUUCCACAACUGGAUUUCAGUGCAGAAUUGCAUCCCGAAGUAAAAGAGACAAGAGCAUCCAGACACCCUUCCCGAAGCUGCCCUCCGCAGCGAACUUUGCUUUCAAAUACACAAGCUCUCCAGCAAAAACAAACAUGAAGCCAAGAGGUGUUGAACACCCCCAUUCCCACCCACACUGAAAUCAAUAGAUGCAGGUGUUUGGCACCUGUCAGGAUGGGGCCCUUCAUUAAAUACAGCAGCUAUAAAAUGUCCCAAGAGCCCGACACACCUCCAUGGCAAGCUCAACAGGACGUGCUCAUUUAGGUAACAGAGAAACUACAUUUAUGAAGUUUGCGGACGAUACCAAGCUGGGAGGGGUUGCAAGCGCGUUGGAGAACAGGAUUAGAAUUCAAAA